GCUUAGCUCACCGGCAGAGCAACGGCUUCCUAAACCGUCGAUCUGGGUUCGAGUCCCGGCAGGAGUACCA
RNAcentral lists this transfer RNA (70 nucleotides) under bacterium. Its description in RNAcentral is "tRNA-Arg". The stretch from base 4 to 59 matches the Rfam family "tRNA", at positions 8 to 63 of the family's 71-position model. From Rfam's summary of the family: Transfer RNA (tRNA) molecules are approximately 80 nucleotides in length. Their secondary structure includes four short double-helical elements and three loops (D, anti-codon, and T loops). The record is from RNAcentral.